Molecule: transfer RNA, 85 nt
Filed under: Felis catus (domestic cat)
Lineage: Eukaryota; Metazoa; Chordata; Mammalia; Carnivora; Felidae
Also listed under: 2 other names
Rfam family: tRNA
About the family: Transfer RNA (tRNA) molecules are approximately 80 nucleotides in length. Their secondary structure includes four short double-helical elements and three loops (D, anti-codon, and T loops).
Source: Rfam by way of RNAcentral
GCCUGGGUGGCUCAGUCGGUUAAGCGUCAGACUUCGGCUCAGGUCAUGAUCUCACAGUUUGUGGGUUCGAGCCCCACAUUGGGCU